This 88-nucleotide transfer RNA is filed under the name Phycisphaeraceae bacterium. RNAcentral's name for it is "tRNA-Ser". It matches the Rfam family "tRNA". From Rfam's summary of the family: Transfer RNA (tRNA) molecules are approximately 80 nucleotides in length. Their secondary structure includes four short double-helical elements and three loops (D, anti-codon, and T loops). The record is from RNAcentral. RNAcentral also lists the same sequence under 1 other name. Lineage: Bacteria; Pseudomonadati; Planctomycetota; Phycisphaerae; Phycisphaerales; Phycisphaeraceae.
GGAGAGGUGCCUGAGCGGCUGAAAGGGCUGGUCUCGAAAACCAGUGUGGCGCUCGUCGUCACCGUGAGUUCGAAUCUCACCCUCUCCG